UUAGAUUGGGGACAACAGUUGGAAACGACUGCUAAUACCGAAUGUGCCUUAGGGUGAAAGAUUUAUUGUCUAGAGAUUGGCUCGCGUCAGAUUAGCUAGUUGGAGUGGUAACGGCACACCAAGGCGACGAUCUGUACUUGGUCUGAGAGGAUGACCAGGCACACUGGAACUGAGACACGGUCCAGACUCCUACGGGAGGCAGCAGUGGGGAAUUUUCCGCAAUGGGCGAAAGCCUGACGGAGCAAUACCGCGUGAGGGAGGACGGCUUUUGGGUUGUAAACCUCUUUUAUCAGGGAAGAAUCGAUGACGGUACCUGAUGAAUCAGCAUCGGCUAACUCCGUGCCAGCAGCCGCGGUAAUACGGAGGAUGCAAGCGUUAUCCGGAAUUAUUGGGCGUAAAGCGUCCGUAGGUGGUUUAUCAAGUCUGCUGUCAAAGCGUGCGGCUUAACCGCAUAAGGGCAGUGGAAACUGAUGAACUAGAGUGCGAUAGGGGUAACAGGAAUUCCCAGUGUAGCGGUGAAAUGCGUAGAUAUUGGGAAGAACACCAGCGGCGAAAGCGUGUUACUGGGUCUGCACUGACACUGAGGGACGAAAGCU
This 596-nucleotide ribosomal RNA is filed under the name Nodosilinea foveolarum OF2. RNAcentral's name for it is "bacterial SSU rRNA". It matches the Rfam family "Bacterial small subunit ribosomal RNA", at positions 132 to 761 of the family's 1533-position model. Lineage: Bacteria; Bacillati; Cyanobacteriota; Cyanophyceae; Nodosilineales; Nodosilineaceae. The record is from RNAcentral.